GUCGAUCCCGUUCACCCGGUUAUGAUCGCAUCCGGCGUCGGGAGAGGAAUCCGGUGAGAGUCCGGAACGGUCCCGCCACUGUGACCCUGCGACCCAGGGGAGUCAGAGUAUCGACCGAUGCCCGCGACCAUC
RNAcentral lists this non-coding RNA (132 nucleotides) under Microlunatus soli. Lineage: Bacteria; Bacillati; Actinomycetota; Actinomycetes; Propionibacteriales; Propionibacteriaceae. The record is from RNAcentral.